This 464-nucleotide ribosomal RNA is filed under the name uncultured bacterium. Its description in RNAcentral is "bacterial SSU rRNA". It matches the Rfam family "Bacterial small subunit ribosomal RNA", at positions 30 to 517 of the family's 1533-position model. The record is from RNAcentral.
AUUGAACGCUGGCGGCAGGCCUAACACAUGCAAGUCGAGCGGUUGAGGCAGCUUGCUACCGAUGCAGCGGCGGACGGGUGAGUAAUACAUGGGAAUCUGCCUGGUAGUGGGGGACAACGUUUCGAAAGGAACGCUAAUACCGCAUACGCCUACGGGGAAGGGGGAGUCUUCGGACCUCUCGCUAUCAGAUGAGCCCAUGUCGGAUUAGCUUGUUGGUGAGGUAAAGGCUCACCAAGGCGACGAUCCGUAACUGGUCUGAGAGGAUGAUCAGCCACACUGGGACUGAGACACGGCCCAGACUCCUACGGGAGGCAGCAGUGGGGAAUAUUGGACAAUGGGCGAAAGCCUGAUCCAGCAAUGCCGCGUGAGUGAUGAAGGCCUUAGGGUUGUAAAGCUCUUUUACCCGGGAUGAUAAUGACAGUACCGGGAGAAUAAGCUCCGGCUAAACUCCGUGCCAGCAGCCG